This 87-nucleotide transfer RNA is filed under the name Clostridia bacterium. RNAcentral's name for it is "tRNA-Leu". It matches the Rfam family "tRNA". From Rfam's summary of the family: Transfer RNA (tRNA) molecules are approximately 80 nucleotides in length. The record is from RNAcentral. Lineage: Bacteria; Bacillati; Bacillota; Clostridia. RNAcentral also lists the same sequence under 1 other name.
GCGGGUAUGGCGGAAUUGGUAGACGCGCUAGAUUCAGGUUCUAGUGAGGAUUCCUUCAUGAAGGUUCAAGUCCUUUUACCCGCACCA